Molecule: ribosomal RNA, 877 nt
Filed under: Lodderomyces metapsilosis
Lineage: Eukaryota; Fungi; Ascomycota; Pichiomycetes; Serinales; Debaryomycetaceae
Description: eukaryotic LSU rRNA
Rfam family: 5.8S ribosomal RNA (bases 149-302)
Source: RNAcentral
GACAAGAAGAUCGGUGAAGGUCGCUAACCGCACCCCCCCCCCCACACGCGCCCUCUCUUUUUGAAAACUUGCUCCGUGGGCCCACGGCCUGCCAGAGAUAAACUCAACCAAUUUUUAUUUAAUUGUCAACUUGUUAACUAAUAGUCAAAACUUUCAACAACGGAUCUCUUGGUUCUCGCAUCGAUGAAGAACGCAGCGAAAUGCGAUAAGUAAUAUGAAUUGCAGAUAUUCGUGAAUCAUCGAAUCUUUGAACGCACAUUGCGCCCUUUGGUAUUCCAAAGGGCAUGCCUGUUUGAGCGUCAUUUCUCCCUCAAACCUUCGGGUUUGGUGUUGAGCGAUACGCUGGGUUUGCUUGAAAGAAAGGCGGAGUAUAAACUAAUGGAUAGGUUUUUUUUUUCCACUCAUUGGUACAAACUCCAAACAUUCUUCCAAAUUCGACCUCAAAUCAGGUAGGACUACCCGCUGAACUUAAGCAUAUCAAUAAGCGGGAGGGAACAUUACAGAAAUAGGAGAAGGUUGCUUAACUGCAAUCCUUUUCUUUCUACACAUGUGUUUUUCUUUUUUUUGAAAACUUUGCUUUGGUGGGCCCACGGCCUGCCAGAGAUUAAACUCACCAAAUUUUUAUUUAAUUGUCACUUGAUUAACUAAUAGUCAAAACUUUCACACGGAUCUCUUGUUUUCGCAUCGAUGAAGACGCAGCGAAUGCGAUAGUAUAUGAAUUGCAGAUAUCGUGAAUCAUCGAUCUUGACGCACAUUGCGCCUUUGUAUUCAAAGGCAUGCUGUUUGAGCGUCAUUCUCUUCACUUUCGGUUUGUUGUGACGAUACGCUGGCUUUGCCUGAGGAAAGGCGGAGUUAACUAUGCAUAGGGAUUUGUUUC